RNAcentral lists this transfer RNA (62 nucleotides) under Phylloscopus sibilatrix. RNAcentral describes it as "tRNA-Phe". Lineage: Eukaryota; Metazoa; Chordata; Aves; Passeriformes; Phylloscopidae. The record is from RNAcentral.
GUACCUCGUAGCUUAUACAAAGCAUGACACUGAAGAUGUCAAGAUGGUCGCGUACACGCACC